GACGUAGGUGGCGAACGUUAUCCGGAAUUAUUGGGCGUAAAGGGUGCGUAGAUGGCUUGAUAAGUUAGCAGUGGGAAAUCGAGGCUCAACCUCGUGGAAGCUGGUAAUACUGUCAGGCUCGAGUGCAGGAGAGGUUAACGGAACUCCAUGUGGAGCGGUAAAAUGUGUAGAUAUAUGGAGGAACACCGGUGGCGAAGGCGGGUCUCUGGGCCGAUACUGACGCUGAGGAGCGAAAGCGUGGGGAGCGAACAGG
This 253-nucleotide ribosomal RNA is filed under the name uncultured bacterium. Its description in RNAcentral is "partial 16S ribosomal RNA". It matches the Rfam family "Bacterial small subunit ribosomal RNA", at positions 524 to 776 of the family's 1533-position model. The record is from RNAcentral.